UCCUUGAAAUACCACCCUUUAAUGGCUGGUGUUCUAACGUGGGCCCGUGAUCCGGGUUGCGGACAGUGUCUGGUGGGUAGUUUGACUGGGGCGGUCUCCUCCUAAAGAGUAACGGAGGAGCACGAAGGUCAGCUAAUCCUGGUCGGACAUCAGGAGGUUAGUGCAAUGGCAUAAGCUGGCUUGACUGCGAGCGUGACGGCGCGAGCAGGUGCGAAAGCAGGUCAUAGUGAUCCGGUGGUUCUGAAUGGAAGGGCCAUCGCUCAACGGAUAAAAGGUACUCCGGGGAUAACAGGCUGAUACCGCCCAAGAGUUCAUAUCGACGGCGGUGUUUGGCACCUCGAUGUCGGCUCAUCACAUCCUGGGGCUGAAGUAGGUCCCAAGGGUAUGGCUGUUCGCCAUUUAAAGUGGUACGCGAGCUGGGUUUAGAACGUCGUGAGACAGUUCGGUCCCUAUCUGCCGUGGGCGCUGGAGAAUUGAGGGGGGCUGCUCCUAGUACGAGAGGACCGGAGUGGACGCAUCACUGGUGUUCGGGUUGUCAUGCCAAUGGCAUUGCCCGGUAGCUAAAUGCGGAAGAGAUAAGUGCUGAAAGCAUCUAAGCACGAAACUUGCCCCGAGAUGAGUUCUCCCUGACUCCUUGAGAGUCCUGAAGGAACGUUGAAGACGACGACGUUGAUAGGCCGGGUGUGUAAGCGCAGCGAUGCGUUGAGCUAACCGGUACUAAUGAACCGUGAGGCUUAACCUUAC
Molecule: ribosomal RNA, 744 nt
Filed under: Klebsiella oxytoca
Lineage: Bacteria; Pseudomonadati; Pseudomonadota; Gammaproteobacteria; Enterobacterales; Enterobacteriaceae
Description: partial 23S ribosomal RNA
Rfam family: Bacterial large subunit ribosomal RNA
Source: RNAcentral